UAGUGACUCAUGAAACCAGGGGCUG
This 25-nucleotide non-coding RNA is filed under the name Mus musculus (house mouse). Lineage: Eukaryota; Metazoa; Chordata; Mammalia; Rodentia; Muridae. The record is from RNAcentral. RNAcentral also lists the same sequence under 1 other name.